RNAcentral lists this long non-coding RNA (373 nucleotides) under Homo sapiens (human). RNAcentral's name for it is "LHRI_LNC1634.1". Lineage: Eukaryota; Metazoa; Chordata; Mammalia; Primates; Hominidae. The record is from RNAcentral.
GGUGAUCCACCUGCCUUGGCCUCCCGAAGUGCUGGGAUUACAGGUGUGAGCCACCACGCCCGGCCUGGGCCUGGUAUGUUUGGGCUCUGUGUACCCCCACAAGUCUCAUCUCAAGUUGUGAUCCUAAGCGUUGGAGGUGGGGCCUGGUAAGAGGUGGCUGGAUCAUGGGGGCAGACUUCCCCCUUGCUGUUCUUGUGAUAGUGAGUGAGUUCUCACGAGAUCUGGUUAAAAGUGUGCGGCACUUCCCCCUUGCUCUCUCUCUCUCCUGCUCCGCUAUGGUAAGAUGUGUUUGCUUCCCCUUUGCCUUCACUAUGAUUGUGCGUUUCCUGAGGCCUCCCAGCUAUGCUUCCUGUACAGCUUGCAGAACUAUGAG